Molecule: ribosomal RNA, 347 nt
Filed under: Bacillus atrophaeus
Lineage: Bacteria; Bacillati; Bacillota; Bacilli; Caryophanales; Bacillaceae
Description: partial 16S ribosomal RNA
Rfam family: Bacterial small subunit ribosomal RNA
Source: RNAcentral
CUCGCAGGCGGUUUCUUAAGUCUGAUGUGAAAGCCCGGGGCUCCUCGGGGAGGGUCAUUGGAAACUGGGACACUUGAGUGCAGAAGAGGAGAGUGGAAUUCCACGUGUAGCGGUGAAAUGCGUAGAGAUGUGGAGGAACACCAGUGGCAAAGGCGACUCUCUGGUCUGUAACUGACGCUGAGGAGCGAAAGCGUGGGGAGCAAACAGGAUUAAAUACCCUGGUCGUCCACGCCGUAAACGAUGAGUGCUAGUUGGUGGGGGGCUUCCCCCCCUUGUUGCUGCAGCUACCGCAUUAAUCCCUCCCCCGGGGGGGUACGGCCGCGAGACUGAAACACAAAGGAAUUGAC